UGGUUGUAGCUAGAGCAAGAAGGGGGAAGCAAACUGGUCGGCUUGCUCUUCAGUAUCUCGCAAUCCGCUUACCAAACUUCUCACAUAA
Small nucleolar RNA from Dendrobium catenatum, 88 nucleotides. RefSeq annotates it as small nucleolar RNA snoR109. The transcript has a single exon. The record is from RefSeq and is a predicted model, not a curated record. NCBI's taxonomy places the organism in Eukaryota, Viridiplantae, Streptophyta, Magnoliopsida, Asparagales, Orchidaceae.